ACACCCAAUCGGUAGGAGCGA
Molecule: unclassified non-coding RNA, 21 nt
Filed under: Chlamydomonas reinhardtii
Lineage: Eukaryota; Viridiplantae; Chlorophyta; Chlorophyceae; Chlamydomonadales; Chlamydomonadaceae
Description: small RNA Cre_0200
Source: RNAcentral